RNAcentral lists this unclassified non-coding RNA (491 nucleotides) under Hevea brasiliensis (rubber tree). The stretch from base 64 to 134 matches the Rfam family "tRNA". Lineage: Eukaryota; Viridiplantae; Streptophyta; Magnoliopsida; Malpighiales; Euphorbiaceae. The record is from RNAcentral.
AGUCGCCUGCGGGCGGCCUUCUGCCUUGCUGGAGCCAUGCGAAGCGUGUAUCGACUGCCCUCUCGGGGUAUAGCGUAGCCUGGUAGCGCGGUUUUGGGUACCGCAGGGCGGAGGUUCGAAUCCUCCUGCCCCGACCAGCCAUCUAUUUGAAUCUGCUAAAUUUUCCCAAAGCGAUUCUGACGCGAUUCUGACAAGCGGUUCGCUGUUCGGGGUCGCUUGCGGCGCCCGCGCCGACGUCCGAUUUGGCUCAGCGGGUUCCGAACAGCGGAUGAGCCACGCGGUCGCCGGCCUGGAUUCCGUAUUUCCGGGCCGUUCCGCCGAUCACCUCAAGCACGCCCUUCGCCAGACCGCCCGACGAAAUGAUCUUCUCGGAGUGAGGUUCGGUAUUUUCCGCGAUCCGCAGAAUGCGGCCAUCGCUGCGGAUAAAGAUCAUGUCGAGCGGAAUGAAGGUGUUCUUCAUCCACAUCGAAACCUGCUGCUCGGGUGAGAAA